CAGCAUAUCUCCACCAGACUCCAUGUAAAUAAUCACAGUACUUUUAGCGUGUAUUGAGCCAGCAUAUUUUCACAGGUAAAUCGGUAUAUUAUGUGUUUAUUUCAACCAAAACUUGGUUGUGAUGGUUGGAAAAGUGGUGAGACGACCCAAAAACGGCUUUUCAUCGAUUCAUUUUGUUUCUGUCGACUUUGAAUGAAGUGUAUUUUACGACGCUAAAAUGACAGUUUAUUCACAUGGAGUCUGGUGGGUUUAGCGAACGCAAUUUGGGGGAUGUUUUUAAGUUUAA
This is a long non-coding RNA of Etheostoma spectabile (orangethroat darter), 286 nucleotides long. RefSeq lists it as uncharacterized. NCBI's taxonomy places the organism in Eukaryota, Metazoa, Chordata, Actinopteri, Perciformes, Percidae. The transcript has 2 exons. The record is from RefSeq and is a predicted model, not a curated record.